CUACGGGAGGCAGCAGUGGGGAAUAUUGCACAAUGGGCGCAAGCCUGAUGCAGCCAUGCCGCGUGUAUGAAGAAGGCCUUCGGGUUGUAAAGUACUUUCAGCGGGGAGGAAGGGAGUAAAGUUAAUACCUUUGCUCAUUGACGUUACCCGCAGAAGAAGCACCGGCUAACUCCGUGCCAGCAGCCGCGGUAAUACGGAGGGUGCAAGCGGUAAUCGGAAUUACUGGGCGUAAAGCGCACGCAGGCGGUUUGUUAAGUCAGAUGUGAAAUCCCCGGGCUCAACCUGGGAACUGCAUCUGAUACUGGCUAGCUUGAGUCUCGUAGAGGGGGGUAGAAUUCCAGGUGUAGCGGUGACAUGCGUAGAGAUCUGGAGGAAUACCGGUGGCGAAGGCGGCCCCCUGGACGAAGACUGACGCUCAGGUGCGAAAGCGUGGGGAGCAAACAGGAUUAGAUACCCCGGUAGUC
Molecule: ribosomal RNA, 464 nt
Filed under: uncultured bacterium
Lineage: Bacteria
Description: partial 16S ribosomal RNA
Rfam family: Bacterial small subunit ribosomal RNA
Source: RNAcentral